Molecule: ribosomal RNA, 609 nt
Filed under: Ralstonia sp. enrichment culture
Lineage: Bacteria; Pseudomonadati; Pseudomonadota; Betaproteobacteria; Burkholderiales; Burkholderiaceae
Description: bacterial SSU rRNA
Rfam family: Bacterial small subunit ribosomal RNA
Source: RNAcentral
GCACAAGCGGUGGACGAUGUGGUUUAAUUCGAUGCAACGCGAAAAACCUUACCCACCUUUGACAUGUACGGAAUUUGCCAGAGAUGGCUUAGUGCUCGAAAGAGAGCCGUAACACAGGUGCUGCAUGGCUGUCGUCAGCUCGUGUCGUGAGAUGUUGGGUUAAGUCCCGCAACGAGCGCAACCCUUGUCAUUAGUUGCUACAUUCAGUUGGGCACUCUAAUGAGACUGCCGGUGACAAACCGGAGGAAGGUGGGGAUGACGUCAAGUCCUCAUGGCCCUUAUAGGUGGGGCUACACACGUCAUACAAUGGCUGGUACAAAGGGUUGCCAACCCGCGAGGGGGAGCUAAUCCCAUAAAACCAGUCGUAGUCCGGAUCGCAGUCUGCAACUCGACUGCGUGAAGUCGGAAUCGCUAGUAAUCGUGGAUCAGAAUGUCACGGUGAAUACGUUCCCGGGUCUUGUACACACCGCCCGUCACACCAUGGGAGCGGGUUCUGCCAGAAGUAGUUAGCUUAACCGCAAGGAGGGCGAUUACCACGGCAGGGUUCGUGACUGGGGUGAAGUCGUAACAAGGUAGCCGUAUCGGAAGGUGCGGCUGGAUCACCUCCUU